RNAcentral lists this ribosomal RNA (118 nucleotides) under Musa acuminata subsp. malaccensis (wild Malaysian banana). Lineage: Eukaryota; Viridiplantae; Streptophyta; Magnoliopsida; Zingiberales; Musaceae. The record is from RNAcentral.
GGGUGCAAUCAUACUAACACUAAAGCCUUGGAUCCCAACAGAACUCCAAAGUUAAUAUGCUUGGGUGAGUGCAGUACUAGGGUGGUUGAACCCUUGGGAAGUCCUCAUGUUACAUACC